GGGAAGUUCAAAACAAGGAAGCAUAUUUUUAAGCUGAGAGGAGAAAGAUUUUAAAAGGAUGAAGAGCAACUUUUUACGCAGAGAGUUGGUCGUGUAUGGAGUGAACUUCCAGAGAAAGUGGUCAACGCAGAUGCCAUUUUGUUGGGACUGCAUAACUGUAUUUCCAGACGCUGUGGGGAAAGAAAAGCUGUAGGACCCCAGCACAAUGGAGACUGUCUCAGAGAACAAUGUGGCAUCACAUUUUCUGAAGUUGUAUUUGGAGCUCUAUCAUUCUAUUUCCACCAGGGGACAGGCCACAGGAAUUCAAUCCCAUAUCAUAACAAAUGAAACAGUGCAUCAUCCAGAGACAGCUAUAUUUUAAGCAGUCAGUACGCUACCUGACAACUGAAGCCGGACUAACCCUACACUUAACGAG
Long non-coding RNA from Stegostoma tigrinum, 415 nucleotides. RefSeq lists it as uncharacterized. The transcript has 3 exons. The record is from RefSeq and is a predicted model, not a curated record. Lineage: Eukaryota; Metazoa; Chordata; Chondrichthyes; Orectolobiformes; Stegostomatidae.